UACGAAGGGGGCUAGCGUUACUCGGAAUUACUGGGCGUAAAGGGCGCGUAGGCGGCGUUCCAAGUUAGGCGUGAAAGUCCUGGGCUCAACCUGGGAACUGCGCUUAAGACUGGAAUGCUAGAGGAUGGAAGAGGGUUGUGGAAUUCCCAGUGUAGAGGUGAAAUUCGUAGAUAUUGGGAAGAACACCGAUGGCGAAGGCAGCCAUCUGGACCGACACUGACGCUGAGGCGCGAAAGCGUGGGGAGCAAACAGG
This 253-nucleotide ribosomal RNA is filed under the name uncultured bacterium. RNAcentral's name for it is "partial 16S ribosomal RNA". It matches the Rfam family "Bacterial small subunit ribosomal RNA", at positions 524 to 776 of the family's 1533-position model. The record is from RNAcentral.